Perca flavescens (yellow perch) is the source of this 685-nucleotide long non-coding RNA. RefSeq lists it as uncharacterized. NCBI's taxonomy places the organism in Eukaryota, Metazoa, Chordata, Actinopteri, Perciformes, Percidae. The record is from RefSeq and is a predicted model, not a curated record. The transcript has 2 exons.
UCCAUUAAUAUUAACAGUCUAUGUUUGCAACCAUGAUUGAAAAUAUUCCUUCCAUUCCAUUUCCUUUCCAUUCCAUUUUCGCUCUUUCAAUUCACUUCGGGAAUUAAUGUGUUGAAUCUGCCAGUCGGAAACAGGAGGACACUUGUGCCACCUGACCACGCCCACCUCACCUGUUGACUAUAAAUUGUUUGUGAAUCCUGUGGCUCAUCCUUUGCGCUCUCUGCCGGCACUCCAAUGCAUCCUGUGUGCGUCUUCAUAAGUUAACCACACAAACAUGAAUGCAAUUAAUCAAAAUCACCUUGAAGGAUAAGAAAAUAAACUACCACUGGUGUUCCAUCAAACCCUGUCUUCUCCCUGCUCUUAUUCAUCACUCCAUAUCACUUGAGGUCUUCUGACCGAGACUCUGUUUGCUCACCAAACCCUCACUCCACUCGAACCAUUUCACGUCACCCUACAGUUCCUUCAAUGAUAUUUUUUAAACUGCCUUUUGUCCCACUUUGUGAAGUGCCCUUGAGUUUGAGCAAGGUAUUUUUGAAAUGAAAUAUAUUACUAAACUCUAAAUAUAAUGAUGCCCCUGGUCACCUCUGACCUUGGCUUUCACUUUUCUUCAAACUGCUUCUUAAAGAUUACCAGCGAUAUUCGUCUAUGAUCCUACAUUUCUAAUAAAGCUGUCCCAUUUACUUUC